This 254-nucleotide ribosomal RNA is filed under the name uncultured bacterium. Its description in RNAcentral is "partial 16S ribosomal RNA". It matches the Rfam family "Bacterial small subunit ribosomal RNA", at positions 524 to 776 of the family's 1533-position model. The record is from RNAcentral.
UACGUAGGGUGCAAGCGUUAAUCGGAAUUACUGGGCGUAAAGCGUGCGCAGGCGGUCUGUUAAGACCGAUGUGAAAUCCCCGGGCUUAACCUGGGAACUGCAUUGGUGACUGGCAGGCUUUGAGUGUGGCAGAGGGAGGUAGAAUUCCACGUGUGGCAGUGAAAUGCGUAGAGAUGUGGAGGAAUACCGAUGGCGAAGGCAGCCUCCUGGGCCAACACUGACGCUCAUGCACGAAAGCGUGGGGAGCAAACAGG